GUUCACUUCAACUCAAACCAAUCAUGUAACAACUUUCUUGUUGACUCAUCCAUAAUCAUUUGCUUGGGUAUAGUAAACCUAAUAAUAAAAUUCUCAAGUACAUAAUCUCAACUUCUUAUUCUAAUGGAUAUAGAUCAUUUACACCUACAACAUUCAACCAACUAAACCUUAUCUCCCUCUCGGCUCUCUCUCUCUCUCUAACCAAAGCCUUUCUCACAACAAUACCACACCUUCUUUUGAUGAUUAUUGUAAGCUUCACAAGUAAAUGGAAUCUCAAGUUAGAGUACUCACAUCCUAGUAUCUCAUCUCAUCAUCCUCUUGGAAUGUCAUAGUUGCACGCUAGCAAAUACACGUUCUUGGAACGACAUUGCGGAAUCACGCUAAGCUAGCAUUGCACAGGAAUGUCAAGGUUGCAUUUUCAAAACUAUGGAACGGUUGGAAUAGGAGAAC
Helianthus annuus (common sunflower) is the source of this 450-nucleotide long non-coding RNA. RefSeq lists it as uncharacterized. The transcript has 3 exons. The record is from RefSeq and is a predicted model, not a curated record. NCBI's taxonomy places the organism in Eukaryota, Viridiplantae, Streptophyta, Magnoliopsida, Asterales, Asteraceae.